AGCAUUUAAUCACACUAAUAUCAUAGUUAACGCAAAACAGAAUCAAAAAGGGAUUAGGGUUUUCUAACUUGAAUGACCAUUAGAGUCCUUUUUGAGACUCUCUUCUCCUUUGUGAAUCGGAGCGGCGACGGCAAAAGCGGCGACGGUGGCUCAAAUUCACUUCCGAUCAGAGCUUCUCCGUCUCAAGCUUUCCAUCUCCGAUUCAACACUCUCACUCUCUCGCGCUCUUAAUCUCUCUCGUCUCAGAUAUCUCUCCUCCGAAUCAUGACCACGGCGUCGAUUGCUCGCCUUUCUCCUCUGCCGAUUAAAGAAUGCGGUGAUCUUCCCUCUCAACUCCGACGAUCUCCCAUCUCUCUCGUUUUCUCCAACGAUUCAACUCAGCAAUUGGAGACUGAUCCGGUGCGCCUUCAACCGCGGUGUCAAGAAAUCCGGCGAGAACUUCAAAGCUUCCAAUGAAGAUUAUAGAGAUUGUGAAGCAAUGGUGAUUUGAAGUUGUUGCGAAUUGUUGAAGAUUCAGGUUGAAUUCGUCUGAAGGUUGAAGAGAGGAUGAGGAUGAUGAUUGAAGAUGUGUGAAGUGAUUUCUUGAAACUCUGAUUCUUCUCGUUUUCUUUUGCAGAGUGAAGAUUUGGUGAAGAGUUGUGUGAUGCCGUUCAGAGAGGGAAGAUUGUUACGUUUUUUUUCUUGUUUUCAAUUUCUGAGUUUGUUUUCUGGUCAUUCAACUGGAGAGGUUCUGAUAUGAUGAUUAUCACUCCACUGUUCUUGCAGGUGAUGGAUUGAAGUGUGGAGGAUGUGCGUUGGAGAUGAAAAUUGAUGGAGAGCCUUUUGCGAGUUUUCAAGAAGAGAUGAAGAAGAUUUGAGAUUAUGCUGAUUGAUAAUGUUGUUGUUUGCAGGUUCAAACCGAGAAGAUGAAUUGGUGAUGAAGAUUUGCGAUGAAAAUGAUCGAAGUUGUUGAAGAAGAUUGCGGUUACGAAUUGCGCUCAAGAUGCUUGUUGUUAUUCCCGUCAACGAUGAAAAGUGAUUAUGAACGUGAUUUAUGCAGAGAAGAGUUUGAAGAUUUUCUUGUGAUUGUAUUGGAGAGAUGAAGAAGGUUUAGAGAGAUUGAAGAUUGUCGAGAGUUGAACCGUGAAGGUGAAGAUUGCAAUUGCCGAGAGAUCAAGUUUCGGUUCAAGAUGGAUGUGGUUGAAGGAUCCCUUUGUGAAUUUCUAUUACGUGUGAAUUUCUUCUUCUUCCCUGCUGAGCUGUCCCCGAACCGGUUCGGUUCUAUUCUGGUUUUGUUUUGCAGUAGGUCCCUUUGGCUUUGGAAACUCACAGUAGUUUGAGGCUAGAACCGUAAUGCAAUUUGGUGGGAUAUUGAUGCAAGCAUAUCUCUUGCAAUGCCAUUUUCUUGUGAUGAAUUGUAUCUCUUUUUUUUGUUAUUUUUGGAUGAAUGUAAUGUGUUGUAAUUGAACUUUGAAAGGACCUUUGAAUGUAAGGUGAAUGUGGACAUUUUAAAUUCCAAUUACUCUUGCAUUUCAACAAUCCACAUGAAUCUUCUUUUCACAUCAAGCACACUUAUAUCCCAAUUCAAUCGAUUAAUUUGAACAC
Long non-coding RNA from Vicia villosa (hairy vetch), 1584 nucleotides. RefSeq lists it as uncharacterized. The transcript is spliced from 3 exons. The record is from RefSeq and is a predicted model, not a curated record. Lineage: Eukaryota; Viridiplantae; Streptophyta; Magnoliopsida; Fabales; Fabaceae.